GACGAACGCUGGCGGCGUGCCUAAUACAUGCAAGUAGAACGCUGAAGAGAGGAGCUUACUCUUCUUGGAUGAGUUGCGAACGGGUGAGUAACGCGUAGGUAACCUGCCUGGUAGCGGGGGAUACCUAUUGGAAACGAUAGCUAAUACCGCAUAACAUUGGAUGACACAUGUCAUUUAUUUGAAAGGGGCAAUUGCUCAACUACAAAAGGGACCUGCGUUGUAUUAGCUAGGAGGUGAGGUAAUGGCUUACCAAGGCGCGGUGACAUAGCCGACCUGCGAGGGUGAGCGGCCACACUGGGACGGAGACACGGCCCAGACUCCUACGGGAGGCAGCCGUAGGGAAUCUUCGGCAAUGGGAGCAACCCUGACCGAGCAACGCCGCGGGAGUGCAGAAGGUAUUCGGAUCGUAAAGCUCUGUUGUAAGUCAAGAACGGGUGUGAGAGUGGAAAGUUCACACUGUGACGGUAGCUGACCAGAAAGGGACGGCUAACUACGUG
RNAcentral lists this ribosomal RNA (497 nucleotides) under uncultured bacterium. RNAcentral's name for it is "partial 16S ribosomal RNA". It matches the Rfam family "Bacterial small subunit ribosomal RNA", at positions 28 to 507 of the family's 1533-position model. The record is from RNAcentral.